CCUACGGGCGGCAGCAGUGGGGAAUACUGCACAAUGGGCGCAAGCCUGAUGCAGCCAUGCCGCGUGUGUGAAGAAGGCCUUCGGGUUGUAAAGCACUUUCAGCGGGGAGGAAGGCGUUAAGGUUAAUAACCUUGUCGAUUGACGUUACCCGCAGAAGAAGCACCGGCUAACUCCGUGCCAGCAGCCGCGGUAAUACGGAGGGUGCAAGCGUUAAUCGGAAUUACUGGGCGUAAAGCGCACGCAGGCGGUCUGUCAAGUCGGAUGUGAAAUCCCCGGGAUCAACCUGGGAACUGCAUUCGAAACUGGCAGGCUAGAGUCUUGUAGAGGGGGGUAGAAUUCCAGGUGUAGCGGUGAAAUGCGUAGAGAUCUGGAGGAAUACCGGUGGCGAAGGCGGCCCCCUGGACAAAGACUGACGCUCAGGUGCGAAAGCGUGGGGAGCAAACAGGAUUAGAUACCCUAGUAGUC
RNAcentral lists this ribosomal RNA (465 nucleotides) under uncultured Klebsiella sp. RNAcentral describes it as "bacterial SSU rRNA". It matches the Rfam family "Bacterial small subunit ribosomal RNA", at positions 338 to 795 of the family's 1533-position model. The record is from RNAcentral. Lineage: Bacteria; Pseudomonadati; Pseudomonadota; Gammaproteobacteria; Enterobacterales; Enterobacteriaceae.